Molecule: ribosomal RNA, 825 nt
Filed under: uncultured Pseudomonadota bacterium
Lineage: Bacteria; Pseudomonadati; Pseudomonadota
Description: bacterial SSU rRNA
Rfam family: Bacterial small subunit ribosomal RNA
Source: RNAcentral
CAAGUCGAACGUGAAAGGGAGCAAUCCUGAGUAAAGUGGCGUACGGGUGAGUAACGCGUAGGUAAUCUACCCCAAAAUCUGGAAUAACCUGCCGAAAGGCGGGCUAAUACUGGAUAGAGCGAUGGAAUCCGUAAUUGGGUUUUUCGGGAAAGGGAGCUCGCAAGAGCCUUCGUUUUGGGAUGAGCCUGCGUCUCAUUAGCUAGUUGGUGGGGUAACGGCCUACCAAGGCAUUGAUGGGUAGCUGGUCUGAGAGGAUGAUCAGCCACACUGGAACUGAAACACGGUCCAGACUCCUACGGGAGGCAGCAGUGGGGAAUCUUGCGCAAUGGACGAAGGUCUGACGCAGCCACGCCGCGUGAGUGAAGAAGGCCUUCGGGUUGUAAAGCUCUGUCGCCCGGGACGAAAAUCCUUUAGGUGAAUAGCCUAAGGGACUGACGGUACCGGGAGAGGAAGCACCGGCUAACUCCGUGCCAGCAGCCGCGGUAAUACGGAGGGUGCAAGCGUUGCUCGGAAUUAUUGGGCGUAAAGGGCAGGUAGGUGGUCUCAUUUGUCUGGGGUGAAAGCCUUGAGCUUAACUCAAGAAGUGCCCCAGAAACGGUGAGACUGGAGUCCUGGAGAGGGUCGUGGAAUUCCCGGUGUAGCGGUGAAAUGCGUAGAGAUCGGGAGGAACACCAGAGGCGAAAGCGGCGACCUGGACAGGUACUGACACUCAACUGCGAAAGCGUGGGGAGCAAACAGGAUUAGAUACCCUGGUAGUCCACGCUGUAAACGAUGGGUACUAGAUUUGGUGGGUCUUGACCCCCGCCGAAUCGGCGCUAACGCACU